GACGAACGCUGGCGGCGUGCUUAACACAUGCAAGUCGAACGGAAAGGCCCUGCUUUUGUGGGGUGCUCGAGUGGCGAACGGGUGAGUAACACGUGAGUAACCUGCCCUUGACUUUGGGAUAACUUCAGGAAACUGGGGCUAAUACCGGAUCGGAGCUCCUGCUGCAUGGUGGGGGUUGGAAAGUUUCGGCGGUUGGGGAUGGACUCGCGGCUUAUCAGCUUGUUGGUGGGGUAGUGGCUUACCAAGGCUUUGACGGGUAUCCGGCCUGAGAGGGUGACCGGCCACAUUGGGACUGAGAUACGGCCCAGACUCCUACGGGAGGCAGCAGUGGGGAAUAUUGCACAAUGAGCGGAAGCCUGAUGCAGCAACGCCGCGUGCGGGAUGACGGCCUUCGGGUUGUAAACCGCUUUCGCCUGUGACGAAGCGUGAGUGACGGUAAUGGGUAAAGAAGCACCGGCUAACUACGUG
Molecule: ribosomal RNA, 468 nt
Filed under: uncultured bacterium
Lineage: Bacteria
Description: partial 16S ribosomal RNA
Rfam family: Bacterial small subunit ribosomal RNA
Source: RNAcentral